AUUGUUGCAGAGUAGGAGAAUGGCAUCGGGAUAGCUGCUAAAAAAAACAAAAAAAAAAAAAGAAAAGAACUGCAUCAGAAAGAAAAACCUCCUGCCAUUUCAUCUUGCCCACACCUUCCAGUGAGACAGCUUUUCCCAACUCUGCUGAGGAUAAUUUCUGCUGUACCAAAAACAUUGCCACGGUUUGCAAAGACGAAGUCAUCCUUAUUAACAAGCCUUUCCAAGAACAGCAAACUGAAACACGCAAUCUUGCACGGAUGCUCCAAUAUGUAUCUUUGGCUUUCGGGACAGUUGUGAGAUUUUUAUUUCCUCUCACACCAAUGGCAGCGGUAGCGUUGAGGUAUCUUGCGUCAAUUAAAAAUCUCUUUAAUCAAAUACUGGCAGGGGAAGGGUUCAAAAUACUUGAAGAAUGACUCCUGAAAGCUUUCACUUGACUGUGAGUGAAUUCAUCAAGAGACUGGCCCGCAACACAAAAUCUUCUCUCACCUUUAAUUCCAAAGCUGCCGACGAACUGCAGCGGCUCUCCAGGCAUCCGGGCAUGUUCAUGGGGGAGCACUGGCAUUGGGGACCCAGAUUCCCUCUGCUCCAGAAGGUUGCCUGGGGUCUGCCAAGGUGCCAGGCACGGUUACUCGCAAAUUCAUCCUUCUGGGCUGCCUAUGCUGAAUGAAGAAGCUGGAGUGGCGGAGAGCGAGCAGAUGCCUUUCAGCCCUAGCUGUCAGGAAGAGCUGAUGCUUUUGAAGAAGAUGGGUGGUGGUUGUGAAAGUGGAGUGAAGAAGCGACAUGUAACUGCUGCUUUCUGGCUGACAACGUGACUGCAUUUUCUGAGGUCCCUCCUUGGCUUCAGCAUCGAUGUCCAGACCUUUGGUGCGCGCCAGGAGUUGCCCUGCCCAGCGUUGCAGACCUAGGGGAGAAAUCCGAUGAGAAGGAGGAGCCCUACAUCUCCGGCGUCUCCGGCUUAAAAUCAGCAGGCAAGCCGAGCCUGUGGAAAUGAGAGCAGGGCCAAACUGCUCCCACCGGGACUGUUCACGCUUUGCAUUUUGCAAACAUAACGUCCUCGCCGGUUCAGGGCUUCCACUUAGAGCCGGACAAAUGAAAAACUUCUCAGCUCACUGCCCGAUCCUCCACCCAAAAAAACCCAAAAAAAUUCAAAUAAGAAAUGGUUGGGAUCAAUGCAAAGUACAGACCCUUUAAUUUAUUUUUUUUUUUCCCCUACCAAAAUAAACCCUUCUCCUCCCCACUCCGAUUAAUUUUAGAUCAAAUGAAAUGUUUUAUUCAAUUGCAGACUGAAAUGUCAUUUCAGAACGUUAACUAGAAUAAUAUUCCUUUUUAAAAAGUAGCAGAGCAAAAAAAAAAAAAAAAGUUCAAUUUUUAAAACUUCCUUUUCUUCCCGCAUGCGUGUAGGGGCAAAUUUGGUUUUUGAUGAAAAAAAAAAAACCAACCCACGUGUUUCUGGUGAACCUUUUUGGUGAGCAGCCCGUGGCAGUGUGAGCCCCCGGGAGAAGGGGGGAGACCCAGUCGGGGUGGGGGGGGCCGACGUGGGCAGAGCUGUGCGGCACACGUUGGCCAAAAUCAUCUUCAUUCCCCAAGAGCUUCCUCCUGCUUCUCUGCUGACUGUUCUUUAAUCAACUAUUUAAAACCCGGCUUGGAGACUUUCAUCACUUCCCAAAUCCCUAGGACUUAAAAAAAAAUAAAUAACUUCAAUAAAACAGGAGAAGACACCGCAUCGGUGGCCGCUGACUGGUCUGAGC
Chroicocephalus ridibundus (black-headed gull) is the source of this 1748-nucleotide long non-coding RNA. RefSeq lists it as uncharacterized. NCBI's taxonomy places the organism in Eukaryota, Metazoa, Chordata, Aves, Charadriiformes, Laridae. The transcript is spliced from 5 exons. The record is from RefSeq and is a predicted model, not a curated record.